RNAcentral lists this ribosomal RNA (586 nucleotides) under Trichophyton rubrum. RNAcentral's name for it is "partial large subunit ribosomal RNA". It matches the Rfam family "Eukaryotic large subunit ribosomal RNA", at positions 37 to 682 of the family's 3401-position model. The record is from RNAcentral. Lineage: Eukaryota; Fungi; Ascomycota; Eurotiomycetes; Onygenales; Arthrodermataceae.
UGCAUAUCGGUAAGCGGAGGAAAAGAAACCAACAGGGAUUGCCCCAGUAACGGCGAGUGAAGCGGCAAGAGCUCAAAUUUGAAAUCUGGCCUCCCCCGGGGGUCCGAGUUGUAAUUUGCAGAGGAUGCUUCGGGCGCGGCCCCCGUCUAAGUUCCUUGGAACAGGACGUCAGAGAGGGUGAGAAUCCCGUCUUGGGCGGGCGGCCCGCGCCCGUGUGAAGCUCCUUCGACGAGUCGAGUUGUUUGGGAAUGCAGCUCUAAGCGGGUGGUAAAUUUCAUCUAAAGCUAAAUACCGGCCGGAGACCGAUAGCGCACAAGUAGAGUGAUCGAAAGGUUAAAAGCACCUUGAAAAGGGAGUUAAACAGCACGUGAAAUUGUUGAAAGGGAAGCGCUUGCGGCCAGACUCGGGGGGCGGGGUUCAGCGGGCGCUCGUCGCCCGUGCACUGCCCGCUCCCCGGGCCAGCAUCAGCUUCGACGGCCGGUCAAAGGCCCCCGGAAGGGGAAGUCUCUAGGGUCGUCCACACCCCCCGUGCCUAUCGGAAGCGGAGGAACCCCCGUCUGAAACACGGACCAUGCAAUCGAGCUGA